CUCGGGCUAUCUGCAGUCGAGCGAUGAUGAGGAGCUUGCUCCUCUGAUUUAGCGGCGGACGGGUGAGUAACACGUGGGUAAUCUGCCUGUAAGACGGGGAUAACUCCGGGAAACCGGGGCUAAUACCGGAUAAUAAAAAGAAACGCAUGUUUCUUUUUUGAAAGUCGGUUUCGGCUGACACUUACAGAUGAGCCCGCGGCGCAUUAGCUAGUUGGUGAGGUAACGGCUCACCAAGGCGACGAUGCGUAGCCGACCUGAGAGGGUGAUCGGCCACACUGGGACUGAGACACGGCCCAGACUCCUACGGGAGGCAGCAGUAGGGAAUCUUCGGCAAUGGGCGAAAGCCUGACCGAGCAACGCCGCGUGAGCGAUGAAGGCCUUCGGGUCGUAAAGCUCUGUUGUUAGAGAAGAACAAGUACGAGAGUAACUGCUCGUACCUUGACGGUACCUAACCAGAAAGCCACGGCUAACUACGUGCCAGCAGCCGCGGUAAUACGUAGGUGGCAAGCGUUAUCCGGAAUUAUUGGGCGUAAAGCGCGCGCAGGCGGUCUCUUAAGUCUGAUGUGAAAGCCCACGGCUCAACCGUGGAGGGUCAUUGGAAACUGGGAGACUUGAGUGCAGGAGAGAAAAGUGGAAUUCCACGUGUAGCGGUGAAAUGCGUAGAGAUGUGGAGGAACACCAGUGGCGAAGGCGGCUUUUUGGCCUGUAACUGACGCUGAGGCGCGAAAGCGUGGGGAGCAAACAGGAUUAGAUACCCUGGUAGUCCACGCCGUAAACGAUGAGUGCUAGGUGUUGGGGGGUUCCACCCUCAGUGCUGAAGUUAACACAUUAAGCACUCCGCCUGGGGAGUACGACCGCAAGGUUGAAACUCAAAGGAAUUGACGGGGCCCGCACAAGCAGUGGAGCAUGUGGGUUUAAUUCGAAGCAACGCGAGAACCUUACCAGGUCUUGACAUCCUCUGACCACUCUAGAGAUAGAGCUUUCCCCUUCGGGGGACAGAGUGACAGGUGGUGCAUGGGU
This 1020-nucleotide ribosomal RNA is filed under the name uncultured prokaryote. Its description in RNAcentral is "bacterial SSU rRNA". It matches the Rfam family "Bacterial small subunit ribosomal RNA", at positions 47 to 1050 of the family's 1533-position model. The record is from RNAcentral.